CUUGCUGAAGGCAGAGUAUACUCAUACUCUGAAUUGUUCUAAAUGGAUUUUUGAGGACUUUAGGAUUUUUGAGGUAGCAAGAAUAUUUCCUCUGACUUCAGUGAUACAAUCAGAUCUGUGGUGCUUCCCCAAUUACCACAUGCUUCAGCAAAGGAAGCCCUUCAACAAUGGCUUUUUUAAUGAAAGAAGUUGGGCAUGGACAGACCUGGAAGUCGUGUCAGCCAUGAAGGUCAAUGGACAUAUCUGUGAGGAUGUGGCUGGAGGUACUUGGAGAAGGAGAAAGCAUCAAAACCACUCCUCCCUGUGUGUACAUCUAUAUCCAGAGGUAAGUCAGGAUACUGAAAUGAGGAGAAGGGAGGGGAAAGCACAAGUUACUUGCCUUUAUAGCACUGUCAAGAACUUUUUAGUUUUCUUUGUUCAAAAGCAUUUGGGAACAAGAGGGGACAGCUUAAGAGAAAAGUUGCUCUAAUGGAGAGAGAUGUGCCAGCAGGUCAUCCUGAAACUGCACUUUAACUGUAUCACUAUGGAUCAUCC
This 534-nucleotide long non-coding RNA is filed under the name Cyanistes caeruleus (blue tit). Its description in RNAcentral is "lncRNA (ENSCCEG00000019227.1)". The record is from RNAcentral. Lineage: Eukaryota; Metazoa; Chordata; Aves; Passeriformes; Paridae.